UGGCGGCAGGCCUAACACAUGCAAGUCGAGCGGUAACAUUUCUAGCUUGCUAGAAGAUGACGAGCGGCGGACGGGUGAGUAACGCGUAGAAAUCUACCUAGUAGUGGGGGAUAGCCCAGAGAAAUUUGGAUUAAUACCGCAUACGCCCUACGGGGGAAAGCGGGGGAUCUUCGGACCUCGUGCUAUUAGAUGAGUCUGCGUCGGAUUAGCUUGUUGGUGAGGUAAUGGCUCACCAAGGCGACGAUCCGUAGCUGGUCUGAGAGGAUGACCAGCCACACUGGAACUGAGACACGGUCCAGACUCCUACGGGAGGCAGCAGUGGGGAAUAUUGCACAAUGGGCGCAAGCCUGAUGCAGCCAUGCCGCGUGUGUGAAGAAGGCCUUAGGGUUGUAAAGCACUUUUCAGCAGUGAGGAAAGGGGUGUCGUUAAUAGCGCCAUCCUGUGACGUUAACUGCAGAAGAAGGACCGGCUAACUCCGUG
This 480-nucleotide ribosomal RNA is filed under the name uncultured bacterium. RNAcentral's name for it is "bacterial SSU rRNA". It matches the Rfam family "Bacterial small subunit ribosomal RNA", at positions 37 to 507 of the family's 1533-position model. The record is from RNAcentral.